AGUGAACGCUGGCGGUAGGCCUAACACAUGCAAGUCGAACGGCAGCACAGUAAGAGCUUGCUCUUACGGGUGGCGAGUGGCGGACGGGUGAGGAAUACAUCGGAAUCUACUUUUUCGUGGGGGAUAACGUAGGUAAACUUACGCUAAUACCGCAUACGACCUACGGGUGAAAGCAGGGGAUCUUCGGACCUUGCGCGAUUGAAUGAGCCGAUGUCGGAUUAGCUAGUUGGCGGGGUAAAGGCCCACCAAGGCGACGAUCCGUAGCUGGUAUGAGAGGAUGAUCAGCCACACUGGAACUGAGACACGGUCCAGACUCCUACGGGAGGCAGCAGUGGGGAAUAAUGGACAAUGGGCGCAAGCCUGAUCCAGCCAUACCGCGUGGGUGAAGAAGGCCUUCGGGUUGUAAAGCCCUUUUGUUGGGAAAGAAAAGCAGCAGGUUAAUACCCCGCUGUUCUGACGGUACCCAAAGAAUAAGCACCGGCUAACUUCGUG
This 492-nucleotide ribosomal RNA is filed under the name uncultured bacterium. RNAcentral's name for it is "partial 16S ribosomal RNA". It matches the Rfam family "Bacterial small subunit ribosomal RNA", at positions 29 to 507 of the family's 1533-position model. The record is from RNAcentral.